AGGGUUUGAUCCUGGCUCAGAACGAACGCUGGCGGCAUGGAUUAGGCAUGCAAGUCGAACGGAGAAGCAGAUGCUUGCAUCUGUGGAUUAGUGGCGAAAGGGUGAGUAACGCGUGAAUAAUCUGCCCCUAAGUUGGGAAUAGCCUCGGGAAACUGGGAUUAAUACCGAAUGUGGUCCUCUAUCGCAUGUUAGAGUGACUAAAGAUUUAUUGCUUAGGGAUGAGUUCGCGUUCCAUUAGCUAGUUGGUAAGGUAACGGCUUACCAAGGCGACGAUGGAUAGCUGGUCUGAGAGGAUGACCAGCCACACUGGGACUGAGACACUGCCCAGACUCCUACGGGAGGCUGCAGUCGAGAAUCUUCCGCAAUGGGCGAAAGCCUGACGGAGCAAUGCCGCGUGCAGGAUGAAGGCCUUUGGGUUGUAAACUGCUGUCACCAGGGAAGAACAUAAUGACGGUACCUGGAGAGGAAGCACCGGCUAACUACGUGCCAGCAGCCGCGGUAAUACGUAGGGUGCAAGCGUUGUUCGGAUUUAUUGGGCGUAAAGGGUCCGCAGGGGGUCCGCCAAGUCUGAUGUGAAAUCCCGUGGCUCAACCACGGAACUGCAUUGGAAACUAGCAGACUAGAGUAUUGGAGAGGUAAGUGGAAUUUCUGGUGGAGCGGUGGAAUGCGUAGAUAUCAGAAAGAACACCGAGAGCGAAGGCAGCUUACUGGACAAUUACUGACCCUCAGGGACGAAAGCAUGGGUAGCAAACAGGAUUAGAUACCCUGGUAGUCCAUGCCGUAAACGUUGUAUACUAGAUGUGGGAGGAUUAAGCCCCUUCCGUGUCCAAGCUAACGCGAUAAGUAUACCGCCUGGGGACUACGGCCGCAAGGCUAAAACUCAAAGGAAUUGACGGGGACCCGCACAAGCGGUGGAGCAUGUGGCUUAAUUCGAGGCAACGCGAAGAACCUUACCUGGGUUUGACAUAUUUCUGACAACCGUAGAGAUACGGCUUUCCUUCGGGACAGAUUUACAGGUGCUGCAUGGCUGUCGUCAGCUCGUGUCGUGAGAUGUUCGGUUAAGUCCGGCAACGAGCGCAACCCAUGUCGUUAGUUGCAAACAGUUCGGCUGUGCACUCUAGCGAGACUGCCCGUGUCAAGCGGGAGGAAGGCGUGGACGACGUCAAGUCCGUAUGGCCCUUAUGCCCAGGGCUGCACACGUGCUACAAUGGCCGGAACAAUGGGACGCAAUGCCGCGAGGCGGAGCAAAUCCUCAACAUCGGCCCCAGUUCGGAUUGGAGUCUGCAACUCGACUCCAUGAAGUCGGAAUCGCUAGUAAAGGCGUAUCAGCUACGACGCCUUGAAUACGUUCCCGGGUCUUGUACACACCGCCCGUCACAUCACGGAAGCUGACUGCACCCGAAGUCGUUGACCCAACUCUUUACUGAGAGGGAGACGCCGAAGGUGUGGUGGGUAACUGGGAUGAAGUCGUAACAAGGUAGCCG
This 1484-nucleotide ribosomal RNA is filed under the name uncultured prokaryote. Its description in RNAcentral is "partial 16S ribosomal RNA". It matches the Rfam family "Bacterial small subunit ribosomal RNA". The record is from RNAcentral.